Molecule: ribosomal RNA, 292 nt
Filed under: uncultured bacterium
Lineage: Bacteria
Description: partial 16S ribosomal RNA
Rfam family: Bacterial small subunit ribosomal RNA
Source: RNAcentral
GUGCCAGCAGCCGCGGUAAUACAGAGGGUGCGAGCGUUGUCCGGAAUCACUGGGCGUAAAGGGCGCGUAGGUGGCGACCCAAGUCGAUGGUGAAAGCUCGCCGCUCAACGGCGAGUCGGCCACCGAUACUGGGUUGCUCGAGCACUGUAGAGGCUCAUGGAAUUCCGGGUGUAGCGGUGGAAUGCGUAGAGAUCCGGAAGAACACCGGUGGCGAAGGCGGUGAGCUGGGCAGUUGCUGACACUGAGGCGCGACAGCGUGGGGAGCAAACAGGAUUAGAAACCCCCGUAGUCC